AAACAACUGCAGACGGCGGAUCGCUCGGCUCGCGCGUCGA
RNAcentral lists this ribosomal RNA (40 nucleotides) under Caecosagitta macrocephala. Its description in RNAcentral is "partial 5.8S rRNA". The record is from RNAcentral. Lineage: Eukaryota; Metazoa; Chaetognatha; Sagittoidea; Aphragmophora; Sagittidae.